GACGAACGCUGGCGGCGUGCUUAACACAUGCAAGUCGAACGGAAAGGCCCUGCUUUUGUGGGGUGCUCGAGUGGCGAACGGGUGAGUAACACGUGAGUAACCUGCCCUUGACUUUGGGAUAACUUCAGGAAACUGGGGCUAAUACCGGAUAGGAGCUCCUGCUGCAUGGUGGGGGUUGGAAAGUUUCGGCGGUUGGGGAUGGACUCGCGGCUUAUCAGCUUGUUGGGGGGGUAGUGGCUUACCAAGCCUUUGCCGGGUAGCCGGCCUGAGAGGGUGACCGGCCACAUUGGGACUGAGAGACGGCCCAGACUCCUACGGGAGGCAGAAGUGGGGAAUAUUGCACAAUGGGCGGAAGCCUGAUGCAGCAACGCCGCGUGCGGGAUGACGGCCUUCGGGUUGUAAACCGCUUUCGCCUGUGACGAAGCGUGAGUGACGGUAAUGGGUAAAGAAGCACCGGCUAACUACGUG
This 468-nucleotide ribosomal RNA is filed under the name uncultured bacterium. RNAcentral's name for it is "partial 16S ribosomal RNA". It matches the Rfam family "Bacterial small subunit ribosomal RNA", at positions 28 to 507 of the family's 1533-position model. The record is from RNAcentral.